Drosophila yakuba is the source of this 5658-nucleotide long non-coding RNA. RefSeq lists it as uncharacterized. Lineage: Eukaryota; Metazoa; Arthropoda; Insecta; Diptera; Drosophilidae. The record is from RefSeq and is a predicted model, not a curated record. The transcript has 2 exons.
UAUUAACAAAUAAUAUUACAAAUUCAAAAUAUUUAACACUCACGCUUGUUUCUUUGAAGGAAUAGCAGUUACAUUUAAGGGCUAAUAUCAUUAUUUUAGUUCAGAGCAUAAAGUUCUACGAAAAGAAUUAUUUGCAUUUUAUCUUUAUUUUGUGGGCACACUUUCAUAUAUCUUUCUUUUCAUGUAUGAACGUUAGAGGUCAUGGAUAACUUUACAGGUGUCCCUUUGAAAUUUCUCGGCGGGAACAUUUAGUCUUCAAAUUUGACUUUUAGAAAAUCCAAUGUGAAGGCAGUUCAUAAAUAUUUAUAAAUUCGAUUCAUAAACAUACCGAUACGAACAGUGGCAAAGGCCCGUCAAAUCGACAAACCGCCGUGCUCUUAACCCCUGCUCUAAUAAAAAGGAACCUCAAUAGCAAAUUCAAUUAACCCUACAGACCGUAGAGAGCAUAAGCAAAUACACUCAACCAAUACAAAUACGACGACCGAGACAGACAAACCAAACUCCCUACUUGCAGGAUCUCCUCAUCCCUCUCCCUUGACUCCAUUCUGGGCCUCCGUUAGACCAAGGCACGCGCCAUCUACAUCUGCAAUCCGCCUCACAGCCAGUGGCGCCCGAGCAGGGACGGGGUGGCUGACCAACCGCAAGGACACAAAGUAACUAAUUAUCUCGCCUUAACCCCUUACCAACAGAUUCUAGCACACCACCCUUCUAAAGUUCUCCUGCAGCUUCAUCGCACGUGGCUGGGAAAUGGACCCAAAAAAUAAAAAAGAAAGCUGGGGAAAAUUGAAUGCAAACCCGAUAUGUUUUCCACAUUUGAAUGGACAAUGGGUAGCAGGCCUGGGCAGGGGAAAACAGGAAAAAAUGUAAAUGAAAUGUGUCAAAUGCUGACACAUGCCGCGUCUGAAGCUGAAACUCUUUGGGUUAGGUGAAAAAGACGGACUCAAAUGUAUGUAGUGUCGCAGGGUUGUAGGGUUGCCCAAGGAAACAGAGGGAACUCCCGCCUAAAACAGGCCCCUUGUCCGGGGAAGUGGGACUUUUCACAGCAAUCACCGGCUGAGUGAAUAUUUAUCGAUAACAAACUGAAAACAUCUAACCCCGACCGCCAGUCGCAAUCCCAUUUCUAUUCAACACAACGUCAAACAAGCGAGAUUGGGUUUUGGAGUAAGGAGUAAAGCCUUACAUCGGCUUUGCAUCCUCCUGCCCGAACAUCCGGGACUGGCCAGACUUUCAUCUGCAAUCUCGUUCCGGGAUGGAUGGAUGUGUGCCAGCUAUUAUUUGGACAGCACUCGUGGCGCGUACACGAAAUGAACAUGGCCAACUACAUUGCAGGGUUGGUGCGGGUGUGAUUUAGGAGGAUUCCACGUUGGCAAAUGGCACGAGUCAUUGAGCUAACGAUCGAAAUUGUAUCUCUCACGCAUGUUUUGUAUCUGCAACUCCAAGCGCAGCACUGAAAGAAGCAAAUUUUUGAUGGCGCAAUUAUAUGUUUUCAGGCUGCACUUAGUCUGAUUUGAAGUUUACAAGUUCUGAAACUGACGGCUUAACAGUUUGAAACCUAAAAGUACAGACAAAAGUUCGAUUAAAUACCUUUUACUUAUUACUUUCUUAAUAGGACUUAAAAAUAAAUUUCAAAUAAAUAAAAAAUAUGUCCAUCCACAACUUCUUUUACAAGAUUAAAUAAGUAAAUGAAAUGAAUGAAAUUCCCACACUUAGCCAAAUUAAAUACUUUGAGCUUUUUAAUACAAGGUAGUAUUACCUUUUAAUAGCAGUGCACUACUGCGCACUUCAACAAUCGAAUCUGAAGUCCCGAGCGUUUAACGUCAAAUAAAACCGAGUAAAUAAUUUAACAGCCAAGGCAGCACAUCGAAGUGCCCGGUGCGAAGUAGAAAAACUUUAGCGUAUUUAUUUGCAAUUUUCGCAUUUUAAGCCGAUAAAAGCGGGGCAGCGGCGAUGUGUGAGUGCCCAAGUGUGGGAGGUGCAUGUCGGUGAGACGCCGGGGGUAGUGACCGUAUAAAAUGACAAGCGUUUGACACAAGCACCGGAAUAUCCGUCAGUGCGGCGACGGAGCGGACGACACUGCGUCCUGCGUCCUGGAGAAGGGAGCUCCGGGAAAACGACAGGAUGGCAAAGAUGAGGCCGGAGGAGAGCGGUGAGGGGUGAACGGUAAACGGUGUAGAUGUGUGUCCUGCGCGUGCAGUGUUUGCUAGCGUGUUACGGCCACAUCCAUAAUACAAAAGGAUGCUCCGAGCAAACCGAGCGAGCAUCAUUUCCCGGUGCCAUUUCUAGUUGUGUGUCAACUAUUCUAAUAGUUCCCGCUUGAGUGGGCCAUAGUGAGAGUGUGGGUCUGUGUGUGAGGGUGUGUGUGUGUGAUUUACAGUUGCGCUGAUUGCAAGGAUAAUGCCAAAGUACUCGCCGCUCCGGCAUGAAGUGUCUGGAGCGCUUUCAUUCCUCGGUAGCCAAGAAAGUCCCUGCCAAAGCGGAUGUUAACUUAAAGCAGAUGGAAAGCGAGAAAGUGGAUGCAGCACGGGAAAUUACUUAUUCGAAUUGGCUUGCUUUUAUAUUGAAAGGUGUAAACCGCGUAUUUUUGUCGGCUUAAUGAUAAGCCAAUCUUAUGCUUGCAUUUUACGGGUAAAAUAAUUUUAAGAGGCGGUUUUAAAGCGGAGUUGAAUACGUAUAUAUCUUCAAAAUUAUUCAAUUGCAUAGUUUUUUCCAAGUGUAUUUGGUUGUAAAGGGGGGAGGGGGGUAGGUACGAAUUGAAAGCGAAGGAGUGGUGGCUGCUGCAGUAGUACUACACGUUGCCUAAGAGCCGCUCCGACUUUGAACUAUGACGUUGGCUUUUAGUGUAUUAAGAAAAUGUCAAAGGAGCUGACAGCCCUGGCUCCAGUCGAUGCUGUACCAGGUGCCUGGCUGCGAAUUCGGAGGAGGACGCGGGCAGGGGACCUAAUACAUAAUAAUGCAAUUUUGCCAAGGACAACGGCAAUGAGGAAGGCGGAUUCAUUUGGCUUAGGCCAAAUGCCGGUCUGAAUUUAAAAUCUAAAAAGCAAGAGAAAAGUAAUUGGGAAAAGUGAAAGAGCUCAAAUAAGGGGAAACGCGGCGCUCACUGGAUUAUAAUUUUCUGCAACCAUUCCAGGCGUUCUCCCGAACAAAAAUGUAUGCAGCAUUCCCGGCACCCAAUAAACAGAAUAAGUAAAACGGAAUAUACGUAUAUCCCAGCAAAAUUCCAUAAGCCCAACAUAACAAUUACUGCCAUGUUGGAACACAUAAAAGUUGUAAAGGCCCUAAGUCCCAGGUAUCCCCGUCCGAGCAUCCACCUGUUUGUACACAUACACAUAAUUCUGCCACCUAUGUAAAACCACUGGCAGCCCCAAGUGUCCUCCCCUGCACUUAAUCUCAAUUUGAUGCCUACGCAUACCCUGUAUUCGACUAAAGAGUGUGUAACAACACCAUUAAUGCAUGUUUACAAGGGUUUUCAUUUAGAUGUUAGUUAAAUUUUUGUUGAAGAGUAAUAAUAUUGCAUAUAAGGUGGAUUAACUUACUUAUUUAAGGCAAUUAACUUCAAGCAUAUUUGGAUAUGGAUGCCUCCCUAUUGCAUCUGAAAUAAUAAUCUAAUAAUAUUAUUCAUCUUCCCUUUUGAAAAUGCAUGGAAGAAUUACGGCCUCUUCGAUUUUAUAGGUAUUUUUCAUUUGGCAAUUUAUUAGGUAGCCCAACCCUGGCCAAACAGGAUAUAUUCCCUCUAAUAAUCGUAUAUGCCAUAAGCGUAUUAACGCAAUUCAAUUUCGAGCCAUUUUGCCUCCCUCCAAAAGGCAAAAAAGGAACAACAGCAACGAUUGGAAUAACUACAGAUAUAAGAGCUGGUCGAAACAAUGUAGAUUGUGCCACCUGCGCAGAGCUAUCAGCUUAAUACGAAUCUUAGAUUACCUUUAAGGUUUGAUGAUUAAAGUAUACACAUACAUAUAUAGUAUAUUUGUAUCUAAGAAAACAGCUUAAAAAUUUCUUUAUUUAAAAUUAUAUAUAUUCAUUACAAUAAAUGCAUACAUGAACAGGAUUUAUAAAAACUUUUUACAGGAAAACAAGAGUCUUUAUAAUUUGACUUAUUGGUGUUGAGGGACUUGUGGCGUAUCCCACGCCAUGUAACCUUAGAUAGGGUAUCAACCGGUAAACGUAUUAACUUCCGCUCACUUUUAUAGGCACAGAUAGACACACCUACACCGCCACCGGGACCCAUUUCGCACACAUAUGCCAAACUGAACUACGCUGACCAAAGGACGCGUAUGGGCACCGCCUUCUGGACAGAAAGGGGAAUAGUUCCGGUCCUGAGAGACCGGAGGCCCAUGCAGGACGGUACUACAUCGCGUCACAUGUACAUACAUCUGUACAUAUGGCGGGGGCGAGGGAAUUAGCAAACAAUUGGAUGCUGUGGAUGAAAGUUGGCGUUGGUAUUUUUCCCAUCACAGAGUACAGAGUACCAGUAAGUUGAACAACGACGCCUUUUUCUUUCUCACUCAAAAAAAACUUAGUGGCUUGAAAAUUAAGAGUUUUUCCUCAAACGUGUUGGUUUUUAUUAUUAAUAAUAAUUAUUAUAAAUAAUAAUAAAUUAAAUAAUAUAAACUGUUAUUCAAAAUAAUUUCCUAUAUAUUUACACCCUGUAGCUAUACGUGCGACCUUACACACCAAAAAUACAUAGGCCCCGGUGAUGAUAUAUGAUAUAAAUCUAAGCGACCACUAAAUAGACGUAUAAUAUUAUAUUUACAACCCUUUGUUGUUGAAUACUAUAAUAUAAUACUAUUGCAAUUUGCCUUAUCUGUAAAAACAGGUUUUAUUAGUUGACUUAGGACGUACGGUAUAAUAUCCUAAUUAUGGAACCUUAUAUUAAAGCAAAAUUCACCUGCAACAUAUAAUUACUGUACCACAAAAACCCUCCUAAAUUAGCUUAAUACUUUUACUUUAUUACAUUCGUAAUCAAAUAACUUAUACCCUUCAAUAACCUUCUUGGAAGUACCGGGUAUACAAGUUUCCAGUUGGUUUCAGGAAACGACUCCUUCUAUAAUCAUUUUUGCCAGUAUAUCUAAGGUUCUUGCCCGUCGCUGAUGGCCAAGAGUCUGUUCAACUUUGCAUGGCCACCUACCUUCUUGGUCAACACACGGAUACCGACCUGUACGUGCAGAGCCUUUAGCUUUUUGACCGUUUUUUGUGGGUUUUCCCUAUUCUUUUUUCCCGAUUGUGAUUCCAGGUUUUCGUUUUUUAUGGGUCACCAGAGCGAGUGAUCACGGACAAAGCGAAAGGAAAAUAUUUGCCUGUUGUGCGUUUGACAUUUUCGAUUGUGCAGUGGAUCUGGAAUAUGUGCUUAAAAAGGGUCAAUGUGCAAGUGGUGUAGGUGGGUCCGGACCGAAGAAUAGGAACAGUUGACCAGUGUUUGCCUGCAUGUCCUACAUUAUGGGAAAUUCACAUAUACAUAUAUUAGUCCCCAUAGUGACAUAGUGCGCAAGUAUCAAUCCGAUCAAAACCAAUUAUAUAUUAAUCGGCCGAUACUAAGGACGAGCUUAAGAGAAAUGGUAAUUUGAUGGUAAAAGAUCUCAGUUCGAAAUACCAGAUCAGUUAUCCGUUACUCAGUCAGUGCACACUGAAGUUGAAGUGCGACCGAAAUUUCAACAUUUUCUGGCG